AAGAAAUAGGAGAAAGAAAAGUUGUUUGAGACUGACAUGAUACAUUGUUGAGCAGCUGAUCGAUUGUAUAAUCCACAGCAAACCAUCCGUGCACUUGCUUUCCAUUUACAUCUUGUAGAUUGCAGAACAACACCGUAUCCGGCAGACUCAAAGUCUGUGCCAUUUGAUUUGCAAAUGAGCUUGACUCCGGAAACAGUCCUGAGAACCCACCUCUGGCUAUCACAAGGGGCCGUUCACCUGCGGCAAGUACAAUAAGGACUGGAUUAUUACCGUUUAGAGUUAGCCAUUUCUGUGAUGGAGCUUCUGCCAACUUUUGCCCUGAAGUUGAAUGGAUCAG
This is a long non-coding RNA of Juglans regia (Persian walnut), 337 nucleotides long. RefSeq lists it as uncharacterized. NCBI's taxonomy places the organism in Eukaryota, Viridiplantae, Streptophyta, Magnoliopsida, Fagales, Juglandaceae. The record is from RefSeq and is a predicted model, not a curated record. The transcript is spliced from 3 exons.